This 253-nucleotide ribosomal RNA is filed under the name uncultured bacterium. RNAcentral describes it as "partial 16S ribosomal RNA". It matches the Rfam family "Bacterial small subunit ribosomal RNA", at positions 524 to 776 of the family's 1533-position model. The record is from RNAcentral.
UACGGAGGGUGCAAGCGUUGCUCGGAAUUAUUGGGCGUAAAGGGUAGGUAGGUGGUCUCAUUUGUCUGAGGUGAAAGCCUUGAGCUUAACUCAAGAAGUGCCUCGGAAACGGUGAGACUAGAGUCCUGGAGAGGGUCGUGGAAUUCCCGGUGUAGCGGUGAAAUGCUUAGAUAUCGUCAAGAACACCUAUAGCGAAGGCAGCUUACUAGGCUGUAACUGACGCUGAGGCACGAAAGUGUGGGGAUCAAACAGG